RNAcentral lists this ribosomal RNA (628 nucleotides) under uncultured bacterium. Its description in RNAcentral is "bacterial SSU rRNA". It matches the Rfam family "Bacterial small subunit ribosomal RNA", at positions 1 to 608 of the family's 1533-position model. The record is from RNAcentral.
CGCGCGGAUCUUCCAGAGAUUAGAGUUUGACCCUGGCUCAGGAUGAACGCUAGCGGGAGGCUUAACACAUGCAAGUCGAGGGGCAUCACGAGGUAGCAAUACUUUGGUGGCGACCGGCGCACGGGUGAGUAACGCGUAUGCAACCUACCCUGUACAGUGGGAUAACCCGGAGAAAUUCGGACUAAUACCGCAUAAAGAUAUUUUGAGGCAUCUUAAGAUAUUUAAAGCUUAGGUGGUACGGGAUGGGCAUGCGUAACAUUAGCUGGUUGGUAGGGUAACGGCCUACCAAGGCGAUGAUGUUUAGGGGACCUGAGAGGGUGAUCCCCCACACUGGUACUGAGACACGGACCAGACUCCUACGGGAGGCAGCAGUGAGGAAUAUUGGUCAAUGGGCGGAAGCCUGAACCAGCCAUCCCGCGUGCAGGAAGACAGCCCUAUGGGUUGUAAACUGCUUUUCCAGUGGGCGAAACACUCGUACGUGUACGAGAUUGACGGUACACUGGGAAUAAGCAUCGGCUAACUCCGUGCCAGCAGCCGCGGUAAUACGGAGGAUGCAAGCGUUAUCCGGAUUUAUUGGGUUUAAAGGGUGCGUAGGCGGAUGAAUAAGUCAGUGGUGAAAGGCUGCAGC